CCAAUAGCGUAUAUUAAAGUUGUUGCAGUUAAAAAGCUCGUAGUUGAAUUUCGGGGUUCUACCGUUGGUCGGGCAAUAGUCUGUACUGGCGUGUAGAAUUUCUACCUUCUGGGGAACCAUCAUGUUAUUUAUUUAGCGUGGUGGGAAACCAGGACCUUUACCUUGAAAAAAUUAGAGUGUUCAAAGCAGGCUUACGUCUGAAUACAUUAGCAUGGAAUAAUAAAAUAGGACGGUGGUCCUGUUUUGUUGGUUUCUGAAUCACCGUAAUGAUUAAUAGGGAUAGUUGGGGGCAUUAGUAUUCAAUUGUCAGAGGUGAAAUUCUUGGAUUUAUUGAAGACUAACUUCUGCGAAAGCAUUUGCCAAGGAUGUUUUCAUUAAUCAAGAACGAAAGUUAGGGGAUCGAAGACGAUCAGAUACCGUCGUAGUCUUAACCAUAAACUAUGCCGACUAGGGAUCGGACGAUGUUAAUUUUUCUUGACUCGUUCGGCGCCUUACG
This 496-nucleotide ribosomal RNA is filed under the name uncultured Glomeromycotina. RNAcentral's name for it is "partial small subunit ribosomal RNA". It matches the Rfam family "Eukaryotic small subunit ribosomal RNA", at positions 591 to 1092 of the family's 1831-position model. The record is from RNAcentral. Lineage: Eukaryota; Fungi; Glomeromycota.